Molecule: long non-coding RNA, 269 nt
Organism: Leptopilina boulardi
Lineage: Eukaryota; Metazoa; Arthropoda; Insecta; Hymenoptera; Figitidae
Exons: 3
Source: RefSeq, a predicted model, not a curated record
UGCAAGAAUUUGCAUUAAAAUCGUUUGCCUAAGAAAAAUUAAAUUUUCUUGGGAACUUUUUUAUGAUUUUGGAUUUAUGGGUUGGAUGACUUUUUGGUGGUAAUAGGUGUCUUCCUCUACUCGUAUUUGGCUGUCAAUUUUUUUCUACACUUUUAGGAGUAUUUUGUGCAAGAAUUUGCAUUAAAAUCGUCUGCCUAAGAUAAAUUGAAUUUUUUUGGGAACAUUUUUAUGAUUUUGGAUUUAUGGGUUGGAUGACUUUUUGGUGGUAA